Molecule: long non-coding RNA, 1693 nt
Filed under: Aquilegia coerulea
Lineage: Eukaryota; Viridiplantae; Streptophyta; Magnoliopsida; Ranunculales; Ranunculaceae
Description: long non-coding RNA (ACOE_LNC002188)
Source: RNAcentral
AAAUACCUAGAUGAUUUUAGUGUUCUCACAAUUAACACAGCCACCAGAGGAAGAAAGAAGAAAGAAAUGGUGAUGGAAAUUAGGUGGGGUAGGGUAUGGCAAUGUAUCUGUAUGGAUGGAAAUAGUGGCUGUCUUCUAUUUCUAGGUAUUAAUGAUUUAUUUAUUUUAUAUUUAACGUGUAGUAAGAAUCUAUAUACUGUUGAAUCAUAAGUUUGAUUACUGAACACUUUGUUUUUAUUAUACAUUUGAUUGGUAUAUAUUCUGGGUUAGCUCGACAUGUUAUAUAUAUAUAAUUCUAAACUCUGGACUACAAAAGGGUAAUUUGAUUAUGCAGUAUUUGUUGGAAACAGUUUGAACAGAUUCUGUCAGAAAUCUGACAGAAAUCUGACAAGGUCUUUGGCUGGACAUUUUGAUAUGUUCUAGAGCUCCGUUGAGCGAGAUCUUGGUACGUAUGGAAUCCUCGUUCCGAGUAGAUGCUCGCAGAAUAUUCAUACGUCUAAAACUAUUCCAUAUUGAAUGAGAAAUUGGUGUCCCAAGUUCCAAACAACUUGAAACAAAGCAAGGAAAAUCACAUUUGACCCAUGUAGAUAAGGUUUUGUCUAGAAAAACCCCUCAUAUACAAUAAGGGUGUGACCCUUGGGGUUACAAUGUUUUCGUGCGUUGGGCGUAACCUUACAUGGGCUUGGGCUUGAAAAAAACACACACGCGCGCGCCGUCCGUCCGGCUCGGGCUCGGGCAUGGAUCUUGGAUCUUGGUGAUCCAACAUAAUCUUUUUGGUAGAAAGGUCCAUUGGAAUAAAUCCCAAAUAAGUGCAUACCUAUUUCGAACCGGUUUGCUACUGGUUCGGCCCAGAUAGGUGCAACCUUUCAUAAAACUGUUUCGGGCCCAAAAGUUGUAUCCCUUGAUGAAACUGUUUCAAGCCCAAAGUGUCUGUUCAGCCUAAAUGGGUGUGUCUGUUCAUAGAACUGGUUCGACCCAUUAGGUGUGUCUGUUCAAUGAACUGUUUCGGCUCAAGUGUCUGUUCACUUAGUUUUCUCUUGCUAUAAAUACCUUGUCAGUGUCUGCAUUGUUCAUUCAUUCUAAAAACCUCAUAUUCAUUAUCAUUCAUUGUCUGUGUGUGUCCUUGAGAGAGUUACAUCACUGAACUGGUUCGCCGUCUUCGUUUUGUUUGAAGUGCUGCUACACGACGAAGGUAUUGAUCGUUGUAUCCUGGGAGACAGAUUGCAUUACACCCAUACAGCACCUGUUGGGGCAAAUUAUGUCUUAAGGACAGAGAUUUUCUCGACUCGAUCACAUCAUACUGUCCUUAGUUAUUGUUCUGGUUUGCAUACUUUAUUUAUUCUGUUUUUACUUAGAAUUAUACUUAUGCAUUACUAACAUACCGCCCAACAUUCUUAAGACAUCAUCAUAUGUUAGUAUUUUGGUUUACUGUUCUAAUAUUUUGAAACAGGAUAUAUUAAGUAUUAGUCAGAUUUCGAAAAUUAUUAUAUUUUCAGAAAUUUGAACCCUUUGUUCAAUAUAUUUCUUUUUAUUGUUUAUAUCCGAAAUUCUAUAAUUUUCGUAUUGCAGACACAAGUAGAGAAAAUAAAAUUUUCUGGUUGUUUAAUUUGUCUGAAUAUUUUGUUUCAGACAAAUGGAAGAGUCACAAACUCAUGUCCCCGCGAACAAUGGAACUAUCAAUGGAAGUUCAGCU